Long non-coding RNA from Cebus imitator (Panamanian white-faced capuchin), 113 nucleotides. RefSeq lists it as uncharacterized. The record is from RefSeq and is a predicted model, not a curated record. NCBI's taxonomy places the organism in Eukaryota, Metazoa, Chordata, Mammalia, Primates, Cebidae. The transcript is spliced from 3 exons.
GUAUGGUAUUUAUUUUUUUAUAUUUUAUUGAGGAUGUCGUAGGAUACCUGCCAUUUAAGGAAAUGAAUAGAAAAUUUAAAACCCCCAAAAAAUGAGAAAAAGAGAAAUUCAGU